Molecule: transfer RNA, 54 nt
Filed under: Diploscapter coronatus
Lineage: Eukaryota; Metazoa; Nematoda; Chromadorea; Rhabditida; Rhabditidae
Also listed under: 1 other name
Description: tRNA-Gln
Source: RNAcentral
UGCGAAUUAUUUUAUUUGAAUAUUUAUUUUUGGUAUAGAAGGUUUUAUUUGCAA